GACAGAGGUGCCGAGCGUUAGGCGGAAUCACUGGGCUUAAAGCGUGUGUAGGCGGGUCGUUAAGUGUCUUGUGAAAUCCCACCGCUCACCGGUGGAACGGCUGGGCAUACUGGCGACCUUGAGAGGCCUAGGGGCAGACGGAGCAAGCGGUGGAGCGGUGAAAUGCGUAGAUAUCGCUUGGAACGCCGACGGCGAAAGCAGUCUGCUGGGGGCCUUCUGACGCUGAGACACGAAAGCCAGGGGAGCGAACGGG
Molecule: ribosomal RNA, 253 nt
Filed under: uncultured bacterium
Lineage: Bacteria
Description: partial 16S ribosomal RNA
Rfam family: Bacterial small subunit ribosomal RNA
Source: RNAcentral